This 209-nucleotide long non-coding RNA is filed under the name Elaeis guineensis (African oil palm). RNAcentral describes it as "long non-coding RNA (EGUI_LNC059332)". The record is from RNAcentral. Lineage: Eukaryota; Viridiplantae; Streptophyta; Magnoliopsida; Arecales; Arecaceae.
CCCAGCACCCCUACAUGCCAUAAGAGAUCCCAUCGAAUGGAUAAAUAUGAUAGUAAAAUCCUGAUUUCUCCUAUGACCGGACGGCUAUGAGGAUCUAUCCAAUUAGAUUACUAUACUACUCAGAUUCAAAAUUAAUUAUUUAAAUUUAAUCUAAAUAAUUAAAAUUAGAUUAUACGCAAAAAAUUUAUGUCAUAAGAAAUCUGGCUCUG